RNAcentral lists this unclassified non-coding RNA (169 nucleotides) under Fusobacterium polymorphum. The stretch from base 83 to 169 matches the Rfam family "Glycine riboswitch aptamer". From Rfam's summary of the family: This family represents the bacterial glycine riboswitch. Lineage: Bacteria; Fusobacteriati; Fusobacteriota; Fusobacteriia; Fusobacteriales; Fusobacteriaceae. The record is from RNAcentral.
GGAUAUGAGGAGAGAUUUCAUCCAUUGCACUCCGGAUGAAACACCGAAGAAGUAAAUCUUUCAGGUAAAAAGGACUCAUAUUGGACGAACCUCUGGAGAGCUUAUCUAAGAGAUAACACCGAAGGAGCAAAGCUAAUUUUAGCCUAAACUCUCAGGUAAAAGGACGGAG